UCUAAGAGUCAUUUUUUGAGUUCCUUUGAACUUAAGAAAUUUUUAACUUAGUAAUUAUAUGUGGCUUACCGUCCUCGUUUCUCUUUCAUUGUUUAAAACUAUAAAGCCUACGUUUGGGCUUGUAGCUCAGUCUGGUUAGAGCGCACCCCUGAUAAGGGUGAGGUCGGUAGUUCGAGUCUACCCAGGCCCACCAUGACGUGGUUUCUCUUGGGGCUGUAGCUCAGCUGGGAGAGCACCUGCUUUGCAAGCAGGGGGUCACCGGUUCGAUCCCGGUCAGCUCCACCAAAGUUUUAAGCUUUUCCAUUUACAUCGUGAAGUGACAUCAAUACUAAAUUAAUAAAAUUUUUAUUGAGAAUUCAAAAUAUCUAAGUAUUGCAAAAGACAUAUAAGUUUGUUUUUUGUACAUAGAAUAAU
Molecule: transfer RNA, 414 nt
Filed under: uncultured marine alpha proteobacterium
Lineage: Bacteria; Pseudomonadati; Pseudomonadota; Alphaproteobacteria
Description: 16S-23S intergenic spacer region
Rfam family: tRNA (bases 116-190)
Source: RNAcentral